UGUGGCCUACGGGGGGCAGCAGUGAGGAAUAUUGGUCAAUGGCCGCAGGGCUGAACCAGCAACGCCGCGUGAAGGAAGAAGGCUUUCGGGUUGUAAACUUCUUUUGUCAGGGACGAAGCAAGUGACGGUACCUGACGAAUAAGCCACGGCUAACUACGUGCCAGCAGCCGCGGUAAUACGUAGGUGGCAAGCGUUAUCCGGAUUUAUUGGGUGUAAAGGGCGUGUAGGCGGGAAUGCAAGUCAGAUGUGAAAACUAUGGGCUCAACCCAUAGCCUGCAUUUGAAACUGUAUUUCUUGAUUGCUGG
Molecule: ribosomal RNA, 305 nt
Filed under: uncultured bacterium
Lineage: Bacteria
Description: bacterial SSU rRNA
Rfam family: Bacterial small subunit ribosomal RNA
Source: RNAcentral